RNAcentral lists this ribosomal RNA (91 nucleotides) under Trichocentrum pfavii. RNAcentral's name for it is "partial 26S ribosomal RNA". It matches the Rfam family "Eukaryotic large subunit ribosomal RNA", at positions 1 to 90 of the family's 3401-position model. Lineage: Eukaryota; Viridiplantae; Streptophyta; Magnoliopsida; Asparagales; Orchidaceae. The record is from RNAcentral.
GCGACCCCAGGAUGGGUGAGGCCACCCGCUGAGUUUAAGCAUAUCAAUAAGCGGAGGAAAAGAAACUUACGAGGAUUCCCCUAGUAACGGC